This is a non-coding RNA of Xyrichtys novacula (pearly razorfish), 3146 nucleotides long. Lineage: Eukaryota; Metazoa; Chordata; Actinopteri; Labriformes; Labridae. The record is from the annotation of a GenBank genome assembly.
AGGGCCCGAGCGUAGCUGCUAAGCAGCUGCGAGAGCCCUAUUGUUCCUGAUGGAUUCUUCUUUCUUCUUCUUCUUCUUCUUCUUAUUAGGGCCCGAGCAUAGCUGCUCAGCAGCUGCGAGAGCCCUCUUGUUCCUGAUGGAUUCUUCUUUAGGGCCCGAGCGUAGCUGCUAAGCAGCUGCGAGAGCCCUCUUGUUCCUGAUGGAUUCUUCUUUUGUUAUUAGGGCCCGAGCGUAGCUGCUAAGCAGCUGCGAGAGCCCUAUUAUUCCCCAAGUGGUUUUUAGGGCCCGAGCGUAGCUGCUAAGCAGCUGCGAGGCCCUAUUAUUCCUGUAGUGGUUUUUCUUUGUUUCUUUUUAGGGCCCGAGCCAGCUGCAGAGCAGCCGGGCGUAGGCCCUGUUAUUCCUGUAGUGGUUUUUCUUUGUUUCUUUUUAGGGCCCGAGCCAGCUGCAGAGCAGCCGGGCGUAGGCCCUGUUAUUCCUGUAGUGGUUUUUCUUUAGGGCCCGAGCAUAGCUGCUAAGCAGCAGGGCGUAGGCCCUAUUAUUCCCCAAGUGGUUUUUCUUUGUUUCUUUCUUUCUUUCUUUAGGGCCCGAGCCAGCUGCAGAGCAGCCAGGCGUAGGCCCUAUUAUUCCCCAAGUGGUUUUUUAGGGCCCGAGCCAGCUGCAGAGCAGCCGGGCGUAGGCCCUGUUAUUCCUGUAGGGGUUUUUCUUUGUUUCUUUCUUUCUUCUUUUUCCUCCCCUUUGAACUGGAAAAUGGCCCACUUCCCACUGGCGAAAACUCAGGAAAUUUGGCAGGACGACCGGGCCUGGUGAAAAAUUUGAUAUUCCGAAGUCGCCCAAACAAGAAAAUGCAAAAUGGCUCCAUAGCGCCCCCUAAGGUGAAAAUUCACACUAUUGACUGUCACGCCUGUACGCUUUGUCAAAAUGACACAAAAAUUGACACACACAUGUAUCUCAGUAAGAUCUACAAAAAAGUCAGUGCGGGCGUAUCUGUCAAAUGUACGGUUAAAGGGUUAUUUCGCAUUUUUUGCCGAUCCGCACACAUUGGAAUUUCGCUAACUCCUCCGAAGGCUUUCGUUCCACCGGCACCACAUUUGCUCAGGCCAAUCUACACCCCAUGGCCAUUAAAAGUUAUUCAAAUCAUGACGCUGCACCCCACGGUUUAGGUUCUAGGGGGCGCCAAAGAUAACCCUAAGAUCCACAUAUUUAAAAGUCUUAUAACUUUUUAUUUUUGCCCUCACUGGCCUCCAAGUUUUCUAGGAUGAUGCAAUGUCCAGCCAUCAACACAUUUGUGAAGGAAUUUUUACUCCCCAAAAGAGCGCCCCCCAUGGCAGGAGAAAAAAGUCCAUUUUUUCUUGUCCCCUAAGGUGAAAAUACACAUUGUUGAGUGUAACACCUGUACGCUUUGUCAAAAUGACACAAAAAUUGACACACACAUGUAUCUCAAUAAGAUCUACAAAAAAGUCCAUGCGCGCGUAUCUGUCAAAUGUACGGUUAAAGGGUUAUUCCGCAUUUUUUGCCGAUCCGCACACAUUGGAAUUUCGCUAACUCCUCCGAAGGCUUUCGUUCCACCGGCACCACAUUUGCUCAGGCCAAUCUACACCCCAUGGCCAUUAAAAGUUAUUCAAAUCAUGACGCUGCAUCCCACGGUUUAGGUUCUAGGGGGCGCCAAAGAUAACCCAAAAUCCACAUAUUUAAAAGUCUUAUAACUUUUUAUUUUUGUCCUCACUGGCCUCCAAGUUUUCUAGGAUGAUGCAAUGUCCAGCCAUCAACACAUUUGUGAAGGAAUUUUUACUCCCCAAAAGAGCGCCCCCCCAUGGCAGGAGAAAAAAGUCCAUUUUUUCUUGUCCCCUAAGGUGAAAAUACACAUUGUUGACUGUCACGCCUGUACGCUUUGGCAAAAUGACACAAAAAUUGACAAUCAUGUGUAUCUCAAUUAGAUCUACGAAAAAGUCAAAGAGCGCGUAUCUGUAUAAUGUACGGUAAAAGGGCUAUUUUGCAUUUUUUGCCGAUUCGCACACAUUGGAAUUUCGCUAACUCCUCCUAAGGCUUUCAUCCCACUGACACCAAAUUUGCUCAGGCCAAUCUACACUCCAUGGCCAUUCAAAGUUGUAAAAAUCAUGACGCUGCACCCCACGGUUUACGUUUUAGGGGGCGCCAAAGAUGACCCAAAUAUACAUUACAGUAGACAAAGUAGUUUUGCCCACUGAGUGGCGGCAAAGGGACUUGUCUGUGGAGUCUGUGAGUCACUAUUGGCCGUUUUUGACUACUUUAGGUUUUACCUUUAUAUUUCCUCUUACAAAAUUUUUACCUUGCCUUGCCUGGUAUCAUUUUUUUCAGCACAACCUCACCUGUGUCAAUUUACAGUUAUUUUAUCAUUUUGACAUACUAUAUUUACACAUUGGACCCAAAUUCACACACAAAACAUAAAAUCCGAGUGGAAAAAAGUAACGUUUUUACUGUGAAAACCACAAAUAUGUGUGAUGAACUGUUUUUAAAACUUAAACUUCAAAUAAAAAUUGUAAACUUCAAAACAUAUGCAAAUUUUUAACAAAGAACAUAGUAAUUUACCUCUAUUGACAUCAAAAUGCAGGCAAUGGCCCAGGUGUUCUUUGUAAAAUUAUUUACAAAACACUGUAUAGUCUCACAAAUGUCACUUUUUAUUUAUGCCACUACAAAAAAACAUGAUGUAAAUGAUGCAUGAUGUAAAACAUGAUGUAAAAAACUUGUGUAGAUCCUCCUCUAUGUUAGUCCAUGUGUAAUUUUUCCAUAAUUCUUUGUUUUUUGCAGCAUUUUUGUUAGUGUAACUGCAGAUUGUGCUGACAGUGUCUAUGGCAAAAAAAAAAAAAAAAAAAUUAAAAUGCCUCAACAUGAACCCCUGGUGGUCUCUGAGGGUGAAACCUGCUAACUGCUGCAGCUCUGUCAGCUUCAGUCUCCCAUGCAGAGCUCUGAGCGCAUGUGUGGCUCUGCACCCUUAGCAGCGUUGCUAACUCCUCAGUAAGGAAAGCCUGCUUCAUGUCAGAGUCUCUAAACUCCAGAAGAAGUCGAUAAAAGUCCCUUUCUUUCUAAAAAGUCGUUAGGGGGUCUGAAAAGUCAUUGAAUCUAACAACAAAGUCGCUAGGUUUGCAACUACGUGUCCCAGACUGCAUCCC